RNAcentral lists this long non-coding RNA (879 nucleotides) under Cicer arietinum (chickpea). RNAcentral's name for it is "long non-coding RNA (CARI_LNC001002)". The record is from RNAcentral. Lineage: Eukaryota; Viridiplantae; Streptophyta; Magnoliopsida; Fabales; Fabaceae.
GCUCAACAAUGAUAUUCACUGCUCAGUCUCAAACCAACUGAAGGACAUCUUCUCUGGAGUAUACUAUGGUAACUUCUUUUAUUCUGUAAUUCAAAUUCAGAUAUAAAUUAGUGGUUACAAUGCCUUUCCAGUGUUAUUAUUUUAAUUGAGAUGUUUGGGCAACUGAAUCAGAAACAUGCUAAACUGUUCAAUUGCAUGUUAUAUCUAGCCACACAAACUUACAGGUAUUAUUGUCACCAAAUUAAUACACAAAUUGAUAAUAAACUAUAUCUCUAUGGAAAUUUUAUGACCCAGAACAUAACAAUUCAAGGUAAAUACAUUUCUACUGUAAUGCCAAUAAUUGAACUUAUGCAGUAAUGCAAUGAAUGAGGGAGCAAAGAAAAAAAAACUAGUUUCAGUACAAUUUGGCAUUCACAGUAACCAAAAUAAAUUUUGAUUUUCAUCACAAUGAUGAGAUUAAUUAUUCUUUCAAUUAUUAAGACAAAAACCAUGAAGUUAUAAACAUUGAUCAUGAAUGCGGACAAUAGUUUUAUCAUUUAUUUUAUUAAUUUCUUUACGAAGUCAUGGAAAUGUUAUCCACCGAGUUAAAUGGUAAGCAACAAUGAGAAACUAUGAUAAAGAUUGUGAUCUUACAAACACAAUGAUCCUUUUUCUUUGCUGUUUAAACAAUACCUUCUUGCAUCCCUUAUAAGCUUUCAGCGACAAUUCAGUGAAUGACAAAAACUGCUUUUACAGGUGAUUCUCACCCUGAGCAUUAUCUGAACUAUGUGCCAAUUGGAGAAGCUGAUGCCACCACCAGUUUCACCAACUCCCUCCAAUCAAUACCAAAAACAACGGAUCAGCUCAAGUUUUUGGAAAACCAGAUCUGUCCAAUGCCUG